Molecule: ribosomal RNA, 234 nt
Filed under: Ovis aries (sheep)
Lineage: Eukaryota; Metazoa; Chordata; Mammalia; Artiodactyla; Bovidae
Description: partial 16S ribosomal RNA
Source: RNAcentral
AAGACGAGAAGACCCUGUGGAGCUUUAACUAAGUAACUCAAGGAAAAUAAAUUCAACCACCAAGGGAUAACAACACUCCUUAUGAGUUAACAGUUUCGGUUGGGGUGACCUCGGAGAACAGAAAAUCCUCCGAGCGAUUUUAAAGACUAGACUAACAAGUCAAACCAAACCAUCGCUUAUUGAUCCAAAAACUUGAUCAACGGAACAAGUUACCCUAGGGAUAACAGCGCAAUC